Molecule: ribosomal RNA, 468 nt
Filed under: uncultured bacterium
Lineage: Bacteria
Description: partial 16S ribosomal RNA
Rfam family: Bacterial small subunit ribosomal RNA
Source: RNAcentral
GACGAACGCUGGCGGCGUGCUUAACACAUGCAAGUCGAACGGUAAGGCCCUGCUUUUGUGGGUUGCUCGAGUGGCGAACGGGUGAGUAACACGUGAGUAACCUGCCCUUGACUUUUGGAUAACUUCAUGAAACUGGGGCUUAUUCCGGAUAAGAUCUCCUGCUGCAUUGUGGUGGUUGGAAAGUUUGGGCGGUUGGGGAUGGUCUCGCGGGUUAUCAUAUUGUUGUUGGUGACGUGUCUUACCACGGCUUUGAUGAGUCGCCGGCGUGAGAGGGUGACCGGCACAAUUGGGAGAGGGAUACGGCCCGGAGUACUACGGGAGGCAGGAGUGGGGAAUAAUGCACGAUCGGCGGAAGCCUGAUGCAGCAACACCGCGUGCGGGAUGAAGGGCUUCGGGUUGUAAGCCGCUUUCGACUGUGACGAAGCGUAAGUGACGGUAAUGGGUAAAGAAGCAACGGCUAACUACGUG